GGGCCUCGGCUGGGGGACCCGCCCCCGCUUGCGGGGAGGAACCUAGGGCCGGGAGCUGCCCCGCGUCCUGGCCCUGGGCCGGCGGGUUAUCGCUUGACCGGACUCGGGGAGCCUUCCCCAGCCGCUAACCUUGAGCCCCGCCCGCCCGAGUGAGGGGGGAGCUUGGGGACAACGUGGCGCCGCAGGAGGGUUUGAUGCCAGCCAAGACCUGCCCUGACGAGGGAUCCUGACUUCUUCCAAGCAGCGGGAGAGGGGAGGCAAGUACGGUUCCCAGCAGUGACCUGGACAGCCUGCUGUCCCUGGGAAACAGGUGAUCAGGUGUGCAGGGGUCAGCCGCUGAGAGUUUGACACGGGGUGAGGACCUGGAGGACAAGCAGGUGAGCCGUCCAGUAACAUCUGGGAGGCCAGGACAGAACUGGGGAGCAGCUCUAGGCGCCAUCAGGAAUGGGGGAAGACCUAGAGCCACAGGGAGGGGCUGGAAAGAAUGAGGCGCACCAGCCAGGAACCCACAGAGGAGCGACGGAAAGGAAAACAGGGCAAGUGGGGCCACAGCCCCCCCAAACUGAUCUGUACACUGAAUACAAUCCAGUAGAAGU
Nyctereutes procyonoides (raccoon dog) is the source of this 596-nucleotide long non-coding RNA. RefSeq lists it as uncharacterized. The record is from RefSeq and is a predicted model, not a curated record. NCBI's taxonomy places the organism in Eukaryota, Metazoa, Chordata, Mammalia, Carnivora, Canidae. The transcript has 3 exons.